This 584-nucleotide ribosomal RNA is filed under the name uncultured bacterium. RNAcentral's name for it is "bacterial SSU rRNA". It matches the Rfam family "Bacterial small subunit ribosomal RNA", at positions 28 to 639 of the family's 1533-position model. The record is from RNAcentral.
GACGAACGCGGGCGGCGUGCCUAAAACAUGCAAGUCGAACGGGGGAGCAAUCCCCAGUGGCGAACGGCGGAGUAAUACAUGAGGAACGUGCCCUGAAGACUGGGAUAGUCAUUGGAAACGAUGGGUAAUACCAGAUGUGACGGAAGCUUGGCAUCAAGCAUCCAUUAAACGGUUUUUCGCUUCAGGAGUGCCUCAUGGCCUAUCAGGUAGUUGGUGAGGUAAUGGCUCACCAAGCCGACGACGGGUAGCGGGUCUCAGAGGAUGAUCCGCUCGAGUGGGACUGAGACACGGCCCACACACCUAAGGGUGGCAGCAGUUGGGAAUCUUGCACAAUGGGGGAAACCCUGAUGCAGCGACGCCGCGUGGAGGAUGAAGGGUCUAGGCCUGAAAACUCCUUUUAUGGGGAAAGACUUAGGACGGUACCCCAUGAAUAAGGACCGGCUAACUACGUGCCAGCAGCCGCGGUAAGACGUAGGGUCCCAGCGUUGUCCGGAUUUACUGGGCGUAAAGAGCGCGUAGGCGGCUCGUUAAGUGUGAAGUGAAAUCUCUAGGGCUCAACCCAGAAACUGCUUCGCAUACGGCGA